RNAcentral lists this ribosomal RNA (464 nucleotides) under uncultured bacterium. RNAcentral describes it as "partial 16S ribosomal RNA". The stretch from base 55 to 464 matches the Rfam family "Bacterial small subunit ribosomal RNA", at positions 39 to 507 of the family's 1533-position model. The record is from RNAcentral.
GGGGGGGGGGGGGGGGGGGGGGGGGGGGGGGGGGCGGGGGGGGGGGGGGGGGGGGCGGGGGGCGCGGGUGGGGAGGGGGGGGGGAACGCGGGGGUGGGCUGCCCUGCACGUCGGGAUGGGGCGGGGUAACUGGGUGUAGUACCGGAGAGGAGCCGUUUUUCGUGGUGUGGUUGGAAAGUUUUUUCGGUGUAGGAUGAGCUCGCGGCCUGUCAGAUUGUUGGUGGGGUAAUGGCCUACCAAGGCGGCGACGGGUAGCCGGCCUGGGAGGGUGGACGGCCACAUUGGGACUGGGAUACGGCCCAGACUCCUACGGGAGGCAGCAGUGGGGAAUAUUGCACAAUGGGCGCAAGCCUGAUGCAGCGACGCCGCGUGGGGGAUGACGGCCUUCGGGUUGUAAACUCCUUUCGCUAGGGACGAAGCUUUUUGUGACGGUACCUAGAGAAGAAGCACCGGCUAACUACGUG